CCUAACACAUGCAAGUCGAACGGUAACAGAUAAGAGCUUGCUUUUAUGCUGACGAGUGGCGCACGGGUGAGUAACGCGUAUACAAUCUACCUUUUACAGGGGGAUAGCCUUUAGAAAUGAAGAUUAAUAUCCCAUAGUAAGUUAUCAUUGCAUGAUAGUAACUUUAAAGCUUCGGCGGUAAAAGAUGAGUAUGCGUUCUAUUAGCUAGAUGGUGUGGUAACGGCACACCAUGGCAACGAUAGAUAGGGGCCCUGAGAGGGGGAUCCCCCACACUGGUACUGAGACACGGACCAGACUCCUACGGGAGGCAGCAGUGAGGAAUAUUGGACAAUGGGCGAGAGCCUGAUCCAGCCAUGCCGCGUGCAGGAAGACUGCCCUAUGGGUUGUAAACUGCUUUUAUACGGGAAGAAACCUAGUCACGUGUGACUAGCUGACGGUACCGUAAGAAUAAGGAUCGGCUAACUCCGUGCCAGCAGCCGCGGUAAUACGGAGGAUCCAAGCGUUAUCCGGAAUCAUUGGGUUUAAAGGGUCCGUAGGUGGAUAAUUAAGUCAGGGGUGAAAGUCUGCAGCUCAACUGUAGAAUUGCCCUUGAUACUGGUUGUCUUGAAUUAUUGUGAAGUGGUUAGAAUAUGUAGUGUAGCGGUGAAAUGCAUAGAUAUUACAUAGAAUACCAAUUGCGAAGGCAGAUCACUAACAAUAUAUUGACACUGAUGGACGAAAGCGUGGGGAGCGAACAGGAUUAGAUACCCUGGUAGUCCACGCCGUAAACGAUGGAUACUAGCUGUUCGGUUUUCGGACUGAGUGGCUAAGCGAAAG
Molecule: ribosomal RNA, 816 nt
Filed under: uncultured Winogradskyella sp.
Lineage: Bacteria; Pseudomonadati; Bacteroidota; Flavobacteriia; Flavobacteriales; Flavobacteriaceae
Description: bacterial SSU rRNA
Rfam family: Bacterial small subunit ribosomal RNA
Source: RNAcentral